UACGGGGGGGGCAAGCGUUGUUCGGAAUUACUGGGCGUAAAGGGCUCGUAGGCGGCCAACUAAGUCAGACGUGAAAUCCCCCGGCUUAACCUGGGAACUGCGUCUGAUACUGGACGGCUUGAGUAUGGGAGAGGGAUGUAGAAUUCCAGGUGUAGCGGUGAAAUGCGUAGAUAUCUGGAGGAAUACCGGUGGCGAAGGCGGCAUCCUGGACCAUUACUGACGCUGAGGCGCGAAAGCCAGGGGAGCAAACGGG
This 253-nucleotide ribosomal RNA is filed under the name uncultured bacterium. Its description in RNAcentral is "partial 16S ribosomal RNA". It matches the Rfam family "Bacterial small subunit ribosomal RNA", at positions 524 to 776 of the family's 1533-position model. The record is from RNAcentral.